GGAGGAUAAGAUGAACAUUCGGUUGGCACCAGAUCUAAGGCGCCCUUGUGGCGGCGAUGGCGAUUCAACCUAGGCUGUAACUGAUCCUCU
Molecule: small nucleolar RNA, 90 nt
Filed under: Chlamydomonas reinhardtii
Lineage: Eukaryota; Viridiplantae; Chlorophyta; Chlorophyceae; Chlamydomonadales; Chlamydomonadaceae
Description: CrCD77b snoRNA
Source: RNAcentral